RNAcentral lists this unclassified non-coding RNA (4086 nucleotides) under Aplysia californica (California sea hare). RNAcentral's name for it is "cAMP-specific 3',5'-cyclic phosphodiesterase 4A, transcript variant X3". Lineage: Eukaryota; Metazoa; Mollusca; Gastropoda; Aplysiida; Aplysiidae. The record is from RNAcentral.
ACAAAUCACCCAGUCCAUCCCCUAAAUAUUUUUACAUCGGCCGAGAGUUCGAGAAUUUUCUCCGAUGUCAGGUGCCUCAAAGUCAGACCCUGAUUUGCCCUGAACCCACCUUUCUGUUGUUUGAAACCUUCAACAACUGCGAAGUACUGUCUGAACUCCCUCUACAAAUAAAGAGAAUGGUCGACCCAACAUUCCAGCUCCUACUUCCCAAUUCGGGUACUCCCCAGGCAAUAUAAAUGAAAAGAAGAAACUGAACUUGCGAGCAAGAAACACUCUUGAUAUAAAAACAACAUUUUUAUAAAGAUAUUACAUGAGAGUCGGCUAUUCCAAUAAACCCUAUGUUUAGUAGUAGUAGUAUAAGGUUUUACGGCGCUCGCAACUGCUAAGGUCAUAUGAGCGCGCAACCCUAUGUUUAUUGCUUUUCGUUUUCGAUUGGUCUUCCCUCGUUAUUCAAGAAUUUUUUUCUCCGGCUUGCUUGUCUCAACACUAAAAAUAACCUCCUACCCACCCACCCAUCCUCUCUUGUCUUGUGAGUUCUUUCAAUGGUUCUCUCUGUCUCAGUUCAAGUAGAAAGCACUACCACCCACCCGGCCAACCGUCCACCCGUCCAGUCUCACAAACAUAAUAAUAUCAACUCUCAAAUGAAUGUGUUGCUGGUGUAGUGAAACGGGCAAACAGACAAGCCGUGUAAUUAAAAUGCAUUCCAGUCUAUAUCUGUAUACACCUACCUCCCGGACAUUCAUUGCAAUUUUCGCUCCGGGUCUCCACAGAUAUUUAUUCUUCCGUACUCUCUUCUUAUAUGAAUACACACAGGCGUGGAAAAAAGAAACAGAAAACAGAAAGGCUGUAAAAGCGCCUGUAUAGUAGAUGGUUCGACGAAAGUAACUAACACGGCAGAAAGUAUUAAUGUCUACCGUUUUUCACUUAAGUGGCAUUUACAUUUCCAGCCGAGUAGAUUUAUAAUCUUACAGGUCAAGCUUGUUUGUUAUUAUUCUUUCUCAUUGCUCUUUGGGUGUCCAUGAACGUGGAACUUUGUUGAAAAUGGCGCCCUGCCAGGACUUGAAACGAAUGCUGUCCCAUGAAAUGCGUUUCCGCUUUGUAAAAUCUUUACUCUGUGCUGGCCCGCAUAAGACGUUGGAAGUAAACGUGGAGUGAAAAUAACUAGUUGUAUGUAACCAUCACAUUUACUUUGGAUUAUUGAUUGUUUUCAGGACGCCACUGGUAGUUCCAACAUUUUUUGGCUAUCACUUUUGCGUUUCCGUCUAUCAGUGUGUUCUAUUUUUCUCUCUGCACUAAAUUAUGACGGCUGGUGUAUCGAUGUUCUUCUCUUUGACUCAGACUAACAAGCCAGACGUUUUGGAAUUCCGAGUUUAGCACCGAUAACUGGCUUCCUUUGUAGGCUUAUUUGAGUUUUCAUUUCAAAAUAACGGUUCUUUCAUCGUAAAACAAAUUGGCGUUGGGGUGGGUAAAUCUGGUCUAGAUUUUAAUUCCUUCAAGCCCUGGGCCUUUCUGCUUUCAGGAUAUAUCUAACAUAAUCCAACGGAAUUCUCCUAGGUUUUGAUUUUUUUAACGAGAGUUCCGGUAGCUCAAUUGGUACCACGCUGAACGACUGUGCUUAUAACGUUGUUUUGAAUCCCCAAAUGAGCGUGCCUGUCAUUCUAUUAUUUACAGAGUUUUUAGAGCUCUUCACUCACUUCGCAUAGUCCUAUAGGAGACGGACCCUCCGAUCGAAGGUCCAAUUUCUGAAAUAACCUAGCAGUGUUCAUUAUAAAGGGGCGAGCUGUACAAAACCCACAAUGCUACGGUUUGCUCUCGGAUGCGUAGGGUUAAUAUUCGUUCUGUUUCACAUGAUAAGACUCUGUCUUUGCUACCCCACUCAGUACACCUGUCACUCGUGGCUGGUGCUCUGCCAUCGUGGAAAAAGUCAAUGUAUCAUCGCUGGUACUUUGUAUAAACACACACGGCGAUCUUGUAACUCACAGUGCGAUGAAGGAGGAAGAUCUCACAAAAUGUGCCUGGUAUACAAUGGCUUGACGAUAUCGAACUCGGUAUGAUAAGGAACGGAUACCAUUACUCCCAUAUCAACAUUUUAAGGUUGUUGGUUGGUUUGUUGUUUUUUUUACAGGAGUUGAGCCAGGAAUGUGACUUUUAUCUGUGACAGGACCAAGCCAAAUGUGUGUUAGAGAGCAGUAGCAAUUCCCCAAAUGCAAACCACCCAAAUGAAAUAUUACCGCAUCCUGUCUGGGAUUCUGACCAAGGAUAUCUGUACAUCAGUCCAGCUUGAUACAAUCCGAACUCACGCUGUGUCUUAUUAUGUAUGUCUAUUUGUAUACCUUAUGAGUUCUGUCGAAUGUUUAAAGCAUAAUGCGAUGGAUGGAGGCGUUGAAAAUGGUUUGUAUACAGUCAAACCUGCUUUAACGGCCACCUGUCCAAGACAAUCACAUUAUUUAUGAGCAUAAUCCUAAUGAAUGAGGCCGUUAUCAUUGUUAGUCGUGGAUAACUUCUCCUCAACGACACACGAUUUCCCGACUUCUGUAGUGUAGCGGUUAAGCUACACGCCGUUGUUCACAGGUGACAUGAUGUGACACCCUGUCUUACUUCUAGAAAGAAGUACAGUCGAAACUGUCUUAGACGGACAUCUGUUGUCGAGGAGAAAAGUGGUCGUCAUAGGCAGGAGAGCGUCCCACACAGUGUCAUUAUUUUUUUAAAGACAAGGAAGGGGGGGGGGUCGAAUGGGAAGAGGCCAUUUGUACAGCUAGGUAGUUGUCUUGUUAAAUACAAGUGGUGGCUGUAAGUUAGCUAAGUGUAGGUUCGACAGUAAGUAAUUCAAGCCACACCUGAACACCUUCCACCUAUUAACCACCCACAGCACAAAGUGUGGAUUCUUUCAGCAGGUAGCCAAACACCACCUUGACAGCAGUAGCAGCAGCUGCUAUCACUUGUCAAUCCUCCGUUGGUAGUGGUACUGGUGGGUGAGGCGGGAAGAAUUUUGGUGUCAGAUCUACAGCCCUCGGAGUUCACGCUCGCUUUGCGAUCUUGGUCGCGCGCUAGGCUAACGGGCUGAGCGAGCGAGCGAGAGAGCGAGAGAGAGCGAACGUGCUUCUUCCUCCGAGACCAACUGGACGCGCACCGUCGGUCUUCUCCGCCGAGUGCCCUGUGGUUCGAAUAUUUUUGACUUCUUUCUUCGCUCAUUCCGAGUCCGGCAGAUUAAGUUCGUUGGUGUUUGUGGAUAGCAUUCUCACGUGUACUUUUCGUUGAUAUCUUCGCUGUAAUUGUGACCGCUGUGAAUUUAUUGUGAAAGGUGCCAAAACAAACUUCAAACAACGCUUCUUCUUCGUUUGACGGAAAGUGAGAGAAAUCAGAGCGAGUGGUUCACAAAAAUCCGAUUCUUGAAUCAGGAGCACAAAGCUUUGUGUUCGUAUUUAUACGUACAGAAUAUUUGUGAACACAGGUUCGGCUCAUGUUGUGCAAACUCUGACCUUUCGCGACACUCUGGGCUCUGCUAGUAGCGUGUCAGUAACAACACCUACGUCUGCUGCCUAAAGAAAACAUACUUUGGGUGAUUUUAUCAUAGAGUGGAAUCGCGAGCUUUUAUUCUCUUAUACCAACCGAGAAAACAACCUUUGUGGAACAAUUAAACAUAGAAUGUGAUUUGAACAUUCCAGCAUAUUGAAUCAGUUAAUUGACCAUCAGAGUUGUGACUGUAACGACUUCACUUACGGGACUGGAAUAACGGCUGUGAAGUGAAUCUUAUAUUUUAAAAAUCCGUAGCCAACGUGCCCACGGUACUGGUUUUAAACCUUAUUUUUCACGGAAAUAACCUUCCCAUCUGUGUAAGAAUCCGAGGCCAUGAGUGCCAAAGUCGCAGCCUUCCACCCGCACAACCCCGAGGGAACCAUCCAUAGGGUCCAGUCUACGAGCGCGCUGAGAAUACCCAGACAGAGGAAGACCUUCUGGCAAAGGCAUGCGGAGGACCUGAUUGUGACGCCGUUCGCCCAGAUCUUGGCCAGUCUGCGCAGUGUCCGCACCAACUACGUCACACUGACCAAUGUCCCGCCGGCCAGCAGAGAGAGGUGAGUACCCAUA